UACGGGGGGGGCAAGCGUUGUUCGGAAUCAUUGGGCGUAAAGAGCGUGUAGGCGGUCCGGUAAGUCCGCUGUGAAAGUCGGGGGCUCAACCCUCGAAUGCCGGUGGAUACUGUCGGGCUAGAGUACGGAAGAGGCGAGUGGAAUUCCUGGUGUAGCGGUGAAAUGCGCAGAUAUCGGGAGGAACACCAAUGGCGAAGGCAGCUCGCUGGGACGGUACUGACGCUGAGACGCGAAAGCGUGGGGAGCAAACAGG
This 253-nucleotide ribosomal RNA is filed under the name uncultured bacterium. RNAcentral describes it as "partial 16S ribosomal RNA". It matches the Rfam family "Bacterial small subunit ribosomal RNA", at positions 524 to 776 of the family's 1533-position model. The record is from RNAcentral.